GAACUGCGGAAGGAUCAUU
This 19-nucleotide ribosomal RNA is filed under the name Cirsium tymphaeum. RNAcentral's name for it is "partial 18S ribosomal RNA". The record is from RNAcentral. Lineage: Eukaryota; Viridiplantae; Streptophyta; Magnoliopsida; Asterales; Asteraceae.